RNAcentral lists this long non-coding RNA (671 nucleotides) under Homo sapiens (human). RNAcentral's name for it is "long non-coding RNA NONHSAT185384.1". The record is from RNAcentral. Lineage: Eukaryota; Metazoa; Chordata; Mammalia; Primates; Hominidae.
CCAGAGUUGUGCUCUCCUGCAGCGUUUUGCGGACGGCUGGCUAUCUUACCCAGAAUCAAUCACACUGGGACACUGAAAAAAAAAAAAAAGGAAUAAAAUAAAAAGUUUAAAAAGCAAACAAAAAACCCCAAAUAGAGUUGUAUCAACGAGGUUUUGCUUGUGAUUUGAUUUUGUGGCCGUAAUUGUCCUGUUCUCUUUCAACACAAUAACCCUAACCCUCUCCCUGUUUCUUUCAGAAAGAGCGAGGGAGUAAUUCUAGCCUGUUUUUACAAGAACACAGUGGCUAUAGACGGUGCCAGUGUGAAGAUGACUCAGCAAACGUGGAGAACCAAAGAUUCUAGGGCAGCACCAAAACUGGGAAAGCAAUUACAGCAGAAGUUGCCUUCCCCAUGGUAGCUUAGCAACUUCGUGUCUCUCCAAGGCAGAGAGGAAAAUCAAGUCUAACAGGCCUUCCCGAAGGCUAGGUGUGAAAUACCAGAAGCCAUCUUUGUUUCUGGCGAUGUCACUAAAUAAGUAUUUGUUGAUAUAAAGUAUUACACAUCUGUUCUCCCACAUUUCAGCUAAAUUGCCAAAAGUUAACCCUUUCUGGAGAUCCAGAAUGGAGCAAUAUACCUAGCUCUCAUUCAUUAUUUCCCUUGCUGAUAUUCUUGCAUAGCUUUUAGUUUAUGCAU